RNAcentral lists this ribosomal RNA (1439 nucleotides) under uncultured organism. RNAcentral's name for it is "16S ribosomal RNA". It matches the Rfam family "Bacterial small subunit ribosomal RNA". The record is from RNAcentral.
GGCUCAGGAUGAACGCUAGCUACAGGCUUAACACAUGCAAGUCGAGGGGCAGCAUGGUCUUAGCUUGCUAAGGCCGAUGGCGACCGGCGCACGGGUGAGUAACACGUAUCCAACCUGCCGUCUACUCUUGGACAGCCUUCUGAAAGGAAGAUUAAUACAAGAUGGCAUCAUGAGUCCGCAUGUUCACAUGAUUAAAGGUAUUCCGGUAGACGAUGGGGAUGCGUUCCAUUACAUAGUAGGCGGGGUAACGGCCCACCUAGUCUUCGAUGGAUAGGGGUUCUGAGAGGAAGGUCCCCCACAUUGGAACUGAGACACGGUCCAAACUCCUACGGGAGGCAGCAGUGAGGAAUAUUGGUCAAUGGGCGAGAGCCUGAACCAGCCAAGUAGCGUGAAGGAUGACUGCCCUAUGGGUUGUAAACUUCUUUUAUAAAGGAAUAAAGUCGGGUAUGGAUACCCGUUUGCAUGUACUUUAUGAAUAAGGAUCGGCUAACUCCGUGCCAGCAGCCGCGGUAAUACGGAGGAUCCGAGCGUUAUCCGGAUUUAUUGGGUUUAAAGGGAGCGUACAUGGAUGUUUAAGUCACUUGUGAAAGUUUGCGGCUCAACCGUAAAAUUGCAGUUGAUACUGGAUAUCUUGAGUGCAGGUGAGGCAGGCGGAAUUCGUGGUGUAGCGGUGAAAUGCUUAGAUAUCACGAAGAACUCCGAUUGCGAAGGCAGCCUGCUAAGCUGCAACUGACAUUGAGGCUCGAAAGUGUGGGUAUCAAACAGGAUUAGAUACCCUGGUAGUCCACACGGUAAACGAUGAAUACUCGCUGUUUGCGAUAUACUGCAAGCGGCCAAGCGAAAGCGUUAAGUAUUCCACCUGGGGAGUACGCCGGCAACGGUGAAACUCAAAGGAAUUGACGGGGGCCCGCACAAGCGGAGGAACAUGUGGUUUAAUUCGAUGAUACGCGAGGAACCUUACCCGGGCUUAAAUUGCAGAUGAAUUACGGUGAAAGCCGUAAGCCGCAAGGCAUCUGUGAAGGUGCUGCAUGGUUGUCGUCAGCUCGUGCCGUGAGGUGUCGGCUUAAGUGCCAUAACGAGCGCAACCCUUGCUGUCAGUUACUAACAGGUUCCGCUGAGGACUCUGACAAGACUGCCAUCGUAAGAUGUGAGGAAGGUGGGGAUGACGUCAAAUCAGCACGGCCCUUACGUCCGGGGCUACACACGUGUUACAAUGGGGGGUACAGAGGGCCGCUACCACGCGAGUGGAUGCCAAUCCCCAAAACCUCUCUCAGUUCGGACUGGAGUCUGCAACCCGACUCCACGAAGCUGGAUUCGCUAGUAAUCGCGCAUCAGCCACGGCGCGGUGAAUACGUUCCCGGGCCUUGUACACACCGCCCGUCAAGCCAUGGGAGCCGGGGGUACCUGAAGUGCGUAACCGCGAGGAGCGCCCUAGGGUA